GUGAGGAAUAUUGGUCAAUGGGCGAGAGCCUGAACCAGCCAAGUAGCGUGCAGGAUGACGGCCCUAUGGGUUGUAAACUGCUUUUAUACAGGGAUAAAGUCGGGGACGUGUCCCCGUUUGUAGGUACUGUAUGAAUAAGGACCGGCUAAUUCCGUGCCAGCAGCCGCGGUAAUACGGAAGGUCCGGGCGUUAUCCGGAUUUAUUGGGUUUAAAGGGAGCGCAGGCGGGGAGGUAAGCGUGACGUGAAAUGUAGCCGCUCAACGGCUGAACUGCGUCGCGAACUGCCUCUCUUGAGUGAGUACGACGUCAGCGGAAUUUGUGGUGUAGCGGUGAAAUGCUUAGAUAUCACGAAGAACCCCGAUUGCGAAGGCAGCUGACGAGUCCUUUACUGACGCUAAAGCUCGAAGGUGCGGGUAUCGAACAGG
This 425-nucleotide ribosomal RNA is filed under the name uncultured rumen bacterium. RNAcentral describes it as "bacterial SSU rRNA". It matches the Rfam family "Bacterial small subunit ribosomal RNA", at positions 354 to 776 of the family's 1533-position model. The record is from RNAcentral.